GGCCACUCCUAGGGAAAAUAGCAGCAGUGCUGAACUUUCUCCAUUUAUAGACAAUUUGUCUUACCGUGGACUGAUGAACAGCAAGGCUUUUGGAGAUACUUUUAUAUCCCUUUCCAGCUUUAUGCAAGUCAACAAUUCUUCUGAGAGCUCUUUUGUGCGAGGCAUCAUUCACAUCAGGCAAUGCUUCUUGUGAAAAGCAAACCCAGAACUGGUGUGUGUUUUUUAUAGGGCAGGGCAGCUGUAACCAACACCUCCAAUCUCAUCUCAUUAAUUGGAAUCCAGUUGGCUGACAUCUCACUCCAAUUAGCUCUUG
RNAcentral lists this long non-coding RNA (313 nucleotides) under Pelobates cultripes (western spadefoot toad). The record is from RNAcentral. Lineage: Eukaryota; Metazoa; Chordata; Amphibia; Anura; Pelobatidae.